GACGAACGCUGGCGGCGUGCUUAACACAUGCAAGUCGAACGGUGAAGGGACUGGUUUUGCUGGUCCUGGAUGAGUGGCGAACGGGUGAGUAACACGUGAGUAACCUGCCCCCUUCUUCUGGAUAACCGCAUGAAAGUGUGGCUAAUACGGGAUAUUCUGUGUCUGUCGCAUGGUGGGCCUGGGAUAGAUUGCGCCUUUUUUGGUGUUUUUGGUGGGGGAUGGGUUGGCGGCUUGUCACCUUGUUGGGGGGUUGCAGGUCUCCCAAGGGGGUGACGGGUAGCCGGGCUUGGAGGGUGGACGGGCACACUGGGACGGAGACACGGCCUGGACUCCUACGGCGGGCAGCAGUGGGGAAUAUUGCACAAUGGGCGCAAGCCGGAUGCAGCGACGCCGCGUGAGGGAUGGAGGCCGUCGGGUUGUGAACCUCUUUCGCCAGUGAAGCAGGCCUGCCUCUUUUUGUGGGUGGGUUGACGGUAGCUGGAUAAGAAGCGCCGGCUAACUACGUG
RNAcentral lists this ribosomal RNA (506 nucleotides) under uncultured bacterium. Its description in RNAcentral is "partial 16S ribosomal RNA". It matches the Rfam family "Bacterial small subunit ribosomal RNA", at positions 28 to 507 of the family's 1533-position model. The record is from RNAcentral.